CCCCAAACCAUCUCUCAACACCCCUCUGAGCCCUAAUGUAACGCCGCCCCACACCGCCGCCCGCCGCCCGCCGGAGAUCACCUACGGCGGUGACCGGCGGCCAACCGCACCUAAAUUUACACCAAACACUCCCCUUUACCCCAUCUGUCCAAAUCCCCAUUCAACUUCCUUAGAUCCCCUAGGAACCUCUCGAAUCUGGAUUUGAAAACACAACCCUAAAAAUCUCAAGUCCAAAUCAGUGGGCCUAUUUGAAGAUUUAGGAUUGUAAUAGACGGCAAUCGUGUGUAUUUGCAUGAAAACACAUGGUUAGAAUCUAUUCCGGUCAAGAAAUCGAAAGAUCCUUCGAGGUUUUUUCAGGUCUACAUCUGGUUAGUUUAGGUAUAGUUCUGGUUUUUUAUUUUUCUUUUAUUGUAUCAUUGCUCUUCAUUUUCGACCUUGUCUAAUUGGAUGUGACAUUCUGUUUUCCCCCUUUCUUUGUUUUUCUAUUUUUGAUUAGGAAGUUGUUAGGAAUUCUUCACUUUUAUUUCUAGUUUUCUGAUAUAUUAGUGUUCGUUUAGUUUUGUUGGAUUUUUCACUCUUACUUUGCAAAGUUUGUCUAUUGUCUUUAUUUCCUUCGAUUAAUCAUGAAUAUUUUAUGUUAAAAUGAACUUUUAUUAAAUUCACUUUGAUUUAGCACGAUUUCGUUUAUUAAAAUUCAUCACCCGUUGGUCCAGUUCGAAGUUUUGAAAUCACUCGAAUUUUCUUUUUUGCUUAUCAGUGAUUUGGCUUGAUUCUUGACCCCUUGGGUUUGAGCUUUAGGUCCAUCUGAUAUAUUUACUUGAACCUGAACCUUUAUGUCAUUGAUCCAUGACCCAUUUGAGGUCCAGCAGAUAACAGGGUCACGCGGAGGGGGAGGUGGGUAAUUUGGAUAGUCUAGCUAGGGAAUCUAUUUGUAACUGCUUCGGGAAGCUUCUAGGAAGCUGGGGAAGGGGUUGUUUUAGAAGCUGAAAACUAGACUAAGGGGUACCUAGGAAAAAAUGAAAACAUAAAAAGGGUCAAAAGUGAAAAACUGAUUCGGAGGGUCGCCCUAAAUGCCUUGGCUAUAAAGGCACUCUAUCUUAUUAUUCAAGGCAGACCUUAUGAUUCUGAGGGUCGCCCAAAAUGCCUUGAUUCAGUGAAAAUUACUGUUACAUUGAAUUUUUUCUGUGAUUUUUUAAGUUUCCAACUCCUAAAAAUAAAUUCUGAUCUAAAUAGAGCUGAAAUGAUUUGAGUUUAGUGGUUUAAAGAGUCUUGGUUUGAAGUUCCGGUCGAUUUGGUUGAUUGUUGCACAUUAUUUCUUGGUUUAAUGUUAUUUCUCUUGGUUAUCUCUGUUGUGGACCACUAUUUUUGCUACUGCAUGUUGCUGUUCUACUCACUUCAUUCUUAUUUUUCUCUCCAGGUAUGUCUUGCAGUUGAGUGACAUAUGAGGUGAAAAAAUGGAAGUUUUGUAGUUAUGUUCAAUAGUGCUGGAUGAAUAAUAGUCUAUGUUUUUUCAAAGCUUGCUCAUGUGAUUUCUUAUUCGAAUCAAUU
Molecule: long non-coding RNA, 1548 nt
Filed under: Nicotiana benthamiana
Lineage: Eukaryota; Viridiplantae; Streptophyta; Magnoliopsida; Solanales; Solanaceae
Description: long non-coding RNA (NBEN_LNC041959)
Source: RNAcentral